UUAUAACUAUUUUGUAGUUAUCCACUCAGGGCGCGUAAGCUGGUUACAAAAAAUAAUAUUUAAUAACAAAAAUGAAAAUUUUCAAUUUUUACGAUUAAAUAAUAUAUAUUAAUAUAUAUUUUUAUUAUUCUAUAGCCAUACCAACCCAGGCCGAGUCACCAAGUGAAGCCAUAAUGGGAUCCCAGCCAAAAUUGGUGUACUACGACAUUUUUGACGAAAUCGAAGCUCGAGUCGCGGCCAUAAAAAGGGCUCAGACAACUGAUGAUGAGACAACAACCGGCAACUCUCCAGCUCGAGCUGCGGUCGAUAACAGCGUUCAGGCCAGAAAUUAUGAGGCAACGACCAGCAACGCACGGGAACAAGUACGAGAAAAAAGACCGUUCGAACAAAGAUUGGCGGUAAGAAGUUGUUCUUAUAUUGUACCGUC
Nymphalis io (European peacock) is the source of this 427-nucleotide long non-coding RNA. RefSeq lists it as uncharacterized. The record is from RefSeq and is a predicted model, not a curated record. Lineage: Eukaryota; Metazoa; Arthropoda; Insecta; Lepidoptera; Nymphalidae. The transcript is spliced from 4 exons.